RNAcentral lists this ribosomal RNA (253 nucleotides) under uncultured bacterium. Its description in RNAcentral is "partial 16S ribosomal RNA". It matches the Rfam family "Bacterial small subunit ribosomal RNA", at positions 524 to 776 of the family's 1533-position model. The record is from RNAcentral.
UACGUAGGGUGCAAGCGUUAAUCGGAAUUACUGGGCGUAAAGCGUGCGCAGGCGGCUAUGCAAGACAGAUGUGAAAUCCCCGGGCUCAACCUGGGAACUGCAUUUGUGACUGCAUAGCUAGAGUACGGUAGAGGGGGAUGGAAUUCCGCGUGUAGCAGUGAAAUGCGUAGAUAUCCGGAGGAACACCGGUGGCGAAGGCGGCUUCCUGGACCGACACUGACGCUGAGGCGCGAAAGCUAGGGGAGCAAACGGG